This 466-nucleotide ribosomal RNA is filed under the name Vreelandella stevensii. RNAcentral's name for it is "partial 16S ribosomal RNA". It matches the Rfam family "Bacterial small subunit ribosomal RNA", at positions 338 to 795 of the family's 1533-position model. The record is from RNAcentral. Lineage: Bacteria; Pseudomonadati; Pseudomonadota; Gammaproteobacteria; Oceanospirillales; Halomonadaceae.
CCUACGGGAGGCUGCAGUGGGGAAUAUUGGACAAUGGGGGGAACCCUGAUCCAGCCAUGCCGCGUGUGUGAAGAAGGCCCUCGGGUUGUAAAGCACUUUCAGUGAGGAAGAACGCCUGGUGGUUAAUACCCAUCAGGAAAGACAUCACUCACAGAAGAAGCACCGGCUAACUCCGUGCCAGCAGCCGCGGUAAUACAGGAGGGUGCGAGCGUUAAUCGGAAUUACUGGGCGUAAAGCGCGCGUAGGUGGCUUGAUAAGCCGGUUGGGAAAGCCCCGGGCUCAACCUGGGAACGGCAUCCGGAACUGUCAAGCUAGAGUGCAGGAGAGGAAGGUAGAAUUCCCGGUGUAGCGGUGAAAUGCGUAGAGAUCGGGAGGAAUACCAGUGGCGAAGGCGGCCUUCUGGACUGAAACUGACACUGAGGUGCGAAAGCGUGGGUAGCAAACAGGAUUAGAUACCCCGGUAGUC